GAUUGCAACAUAGCGUGUUGUUUUGACUUUAACAGAGUGAUGAUAUACAAGCCUUCCAGGAUGUGUAUGAAAAAGUCUACCGAUGCUGUCGAGGGUUUUAUGAUAGUGUUACAUCGUGAGAAUUUUAAGACUUCUACAAUUUAGAGCUCAAAGAUUGUUAAAAUAUUGACAAUAUACCAUAUGUUAUUGUAAAUAUCAUGCCAAGCAAUUUUAUUUUACAUAAGCAACUUAAUAAAGUUAUUGUAUGGAAGAUGUGUUUUUUACAUAGACUUUUAUCUUUGUUAUAUAAUAUUAGUUAUCCAGUUGUCAAAUUUUGACAAAACUGUAUAUAUGGAAAUAUGGAGGAAUUAAAAUACAGUCUUUCCCAUUCCUAUACCUUUUGUGUUUGAAAUAGAAGAAAUUAAAGAAUUUGAAAAUGCUGAGAUCUAAAUAAUGAUCUGUUAAAUCAUAUUACUUUUUUUUUUAACUGUAGAGACUUUAAAUACCUAUCAUAUAGCAUGGUAAAGAACUUCCAUUCUUUAUUUAAUGGAAAAUUGGUUAUGAAUCAAUCUUGUUGUCCACUGAUUUAGUUGUUGUUUUCCCUUUUAAAGCUAUGCAUACAUAAAAAUGCAUUGUGUUUUUACACAUACAAGAUCUAAUAAAAAUAUACUGAAAACUGGAA
Molecule: long non-coding RNA, 661 nt
Organism: Saccostrea cuccullata (small rock oyster)
Lineage: Eukaryota; Metazoa; Mollusca; Bivalvia; Ostreida; Ostreidae
Exons: 2
Source: RefSeq, a predicted model, not a curated record